AAUUCUCAACUUCAUCAUUUUUUGUUGAAGCUUGGAUGUGGGGGUUGUGCAGAACACUUUGGUGGUCUGCUCCCCUUAAAUGAAUUAGCGAGUUCAAACUGAGCUCCGUCUAUUGGUGUGAUAAUUAUCUACGCUGUGGAUGGGACUUAGACUUGCUUCUAAACUGUCCGCAAGGACAAUUCUUGACA
RNAcentral lists this unclassified non-coding RNA (188 nucleotides) under Psathyrella panaeoloides. RNAcentral's name for it is "partial internal transcribed spacer 2". The record is from RNAcentral. Lineage: Eukaryota; Fungi; Basidiomycota; Agaricomycetes; Agaricales; Psathyrellaceae.